UACGUAGGUGGCAAGCGUUGUCCGGAAUUAUUGGGCGUAAAGCGCGCGCAGGCGGUCCUUUAAGUCUGAUGUGAAAGCCCACGGCUCAACCGUGGAGGGUCAUUGGAAACUGGGGGACUUGAGUGCAGGAGAGAAGAGUGGAAUUCCAGGUGUAGCGGUGAAAUGCGUAGAUAUCUGGAGGAAUACCGGUGGCGAAGGCGGCAUCCUGGACCGACAUUGACGCUGAACGGCGAAAGCUAGGGGAGCAAACGGG
RNAcentral lists this ribosomal RNA (253 nucleotides) under uncultured bacterium. Its description in RNAcentral is "partial 16S ribosomal RNA". It matches the Rfam family "Bacterial small subunit ribosomal RNA", at positions 524 to 776 of the family's 1533-position model. The record is from RNAcentral.